UGGCUCAUUAAAUCAGUUAUCGUUUAUUUGAUAGUACCUUACUACAUGGAUACCUGUGGUAAUUCUAGAGCUAAUACAUGCUAAAAACCUCGACUUCGGAAGGGGUGUAUUUAUUAGAUAAAAAACCAAUGCCCUUCGGGGCUCCUUGGUGAUUCAUAAUAACUUAACGAAUCGCAUGGCCUUGCGCCGGCGAUGGUUCAUUCAAAUUUCUGCCCUAUCAACUUUCGAUGGUAGGAUAGUGGCCUACCAUGGUGGCAACGGGUAACGGGGAAUUAGGGUUCGAUUCCGGAGAGGGAGCCUGAGAAACGGCUACCACAUCCAAGGAAGGCAGCAGGCGCGCAAAUUACCCAAUCCCGACACGGGGAGGUAGUGACAAUAAAUACUGAUACGGGGCUCUUUUGGGUCUCGUAAUUGGAAUGAGUACAAUCUAAAUCCCUUAACGAGGAACAAUUGGAGGGCAAGUCUGGUGCCAGCAGCCGCGGUAAUUCCAGCUCCAAUAGCGUAUAUUAAAGUUGUUGCAGUUAAAAAGCUCGUAGUUGAACCUUGGGUCUGGCUGGCCGGUCCGCCUCACCGCGAGUACUGGUCCGGCUGGACCUUUCCUUCUGGGGAACCUCAUGGCCUUCACUGGCUGUGGGGGGAACCAGGACUUUUACUGUGAAAAAAUUAGAGUGUUCAAAGCAGGCCUUUGCUCGAAUACAUUAGCAUGGAAUAAUAGAAUAGGACGUGCGGUUCUAUUUUGUUGGUUUCUAGGACCGCCGUAAUGAUUAAUAGGGAUAGUCGGGGGCGUCAGUAUUCAGCUGUCAGAGGUGAAAUUCUUGGAUUUGCUGAAGACUAACUACUGCGAAAGCAUUCGCCAAGGAUGUUUUCAUUAAUCAGGGAACGAAAGUUAGGGGAUCGAAGACGAUCAGAUACCGUCGUAGUCUUAACCAUAAACUAUGCCGACUAGGGAUCGGGCGGUGUUUCUAUGAUGACCCGCUCGCUUCCGUAGGUGAACCUGCGGAAGGAUCAUUACCGAGUGUAGGGUUCCUAGCGAGCCCAACCUCCCACCCGUGUUUACUGUACCUUAGUUGCUUCGGCGGGCCCGCCAUUCAUGGCCGCCGGGGGCUCUCAGCCCCGGGCCCGCGCCCGCCGGAGACACCACGAACUCUGUCUGAUCUAGUGAAGUCUGAGUUGAUUGUAUCGCAAUCAGUUAAAACUUUCAACAAUGGAUCUCUUGGUUCCGGCAUCGAUGAAGAACGCAGCGAAAUGCGAUAACUAGUGUGAAUUGCAGAAUUCCGUGAAUCAUCGAGUCUUUGAACGCACAUUGCGCCCCCUGGUAUUCCGGGGGGCAUGCCUGUCCGAGCGUCAUUGCUGCCCAUCAAGCACGGCUUGUGUGUUGGGUCGUCGUCCCCUCUCCGGGGGGGACGGGCCCCAAAGGCAGCGGCGGCACCGCGUCCGAUCCUCGAGCGUAUGGGGCUUUGUCACCCGCUCUGUAGGCCCGGCCGGCGCUUGCCGAACGCAAA
This 1502-nucleotide ribosomal RNA is filed under the name Aspergillus sp. RNAcentral describes it as "bacterial SSU rRNA". The stretch from base 1 to 1011 matches the Rfam family "Eukaryotic small subunit ribosomal RNA". Lineage: Eukaryota; Fungi; Ascomycota; Eurotiomycetes; Eurotiales; Aspergillaceae. The record is from RNAcentral.